RNAcentral lists this small RNA (522 nucleotides) under Pongo abelii (Sumatran orangutan). RNAcentral describes it as "retained intron". Lineage: Eukaryota; Metazoa; Chordata; Mammalia; Primates; Hominidae. The record is from RNAcentral.
CUCACUGCGCCGGCACCGCAUGCAUGAGCAGCAGUUUGCCUACCCACCCCUCCUGGUACUCAACAGCUUCGGCCCCCAUGGCAUGCAUGUGAAGCUCAUGGCCACCAUGUUCCAGAACCUGUUCCCCUCCAUCAACGUGCACAAGGUGAACCUGAACACCAUCAAGCGCUGCCUCCUCAUCGACUACAACCCCGACUCCCAGGAGCUGGACUUCCGCCACUAUAGCAUCAAAGUCGUUCCUGUGGGCGCGAGUCGCGGGAUGAAGAAGCUUCUCCAGGAGAAGUUCCCCAAUAUGAGCCGCCUGCAGGACAUCAGCGAGCUGCUGGCCACGGGCGCGGGGCUGUCGGAGAGCGAGGCAGAGCCUGACGGCGACCACAACAUCACAGAGCUGCCUCAGGCUGUCGCCGGCCGUGGCAACAUGCGGGCCCAGCAGAGUGCAGUGCGGCUCACCGAGGUGAGGCCCAGGGCAGGGGACCCCUGGGGUCCGCCAGUGCCAACGAUGGGCUGACACUUCUCCCUCGU